Molecule: ribosomal RNA, 252 nt
Filed under: uncultured bacterium
Lineage: Bacteria
Description: partial 16S ribosomal RNA
Rfam family: Bacterial small subunit ribosomal RNA
Source: RNAcentral
UACGUGGGGGGCAAGCGUUGUCCGGAAUUAUUGGGCGUAAAGCGCGCGCAGGCGGUCAUUUAAGUUUGGUGUUUAAGCCCGGGGCUCAACCCCGGAUCGCACUGAAAACUGGGUGACUUGAGUGCGGGAGAGGAAAGUGGAAUUCCACGUGUAGCGGUGAAAUGCGUAGAGAUGUGGAGGAACACCAGUGGCGAAGGCGGCUCACUGGCCCGAUACUGACGCUGAGGCACGAAAGCGUGGGGAGCAAACAGG